GUUUUCGUCUGUGACGAGAUUCUGUAAGAAAGUGAGGCAGAUUUGGUAAGACUCGUUUUCCAGACGAAGUAGUGGAGGAUCUUGCAUUUGUGUCAUGGGUCCUAGCUCUUGUAGUCUUGAACGCAGUAUCGAGUUGCUGUUUACGCUGUGAGCGUGUAACGCUACACCGUGUAAUGCGUCGAAGAGAACUAAUGUGUUUUUCGCUGAGAGCUGAGGUCUGUACAUGUUGUAAAUCUCCAUCACAGCCUGAAAAAAAAGAAACAUUAUAAACAACACAAACAUUACAACUGUAACAUGCCGAAAAGGUAUGAACAGAAACUGACCUGAAUCAACAAAAGCUGAACAGCGGCACGGCACUUAGCAUCAGAGAUAGCGGCGUAAAGACGGACCGGUGUUGACUGACUCUCUUCAUUACCAUCCGAGCCAAGAGGAGCAACAGACUCAGCAUUUCUCUGGCUUCUCUCCACAUACUCUUCGCUGAGGAAAUAAGAAAAGUCUGGGCAAGUCGUCUUCGCCGAUUCC
This 522-nucleotide long non-coding RNA is filed under the name Brassica rapa (field mustard). Its description in RNAcentral is "long non-coding RNA (BRAP_LNC002613)". The record is from RNAcentral. Lineage: Eukaryota; Viridiplantae; Streptophyta; Magnoliopsida; Brassicales; Brassicaceae.